Molecule: ribosomal RNA, 119 nt
Filed under: Limnobacter sp.
Lineage: Bacteria; Pseudomonadati; Pseudomonadota; Betaproteobacteria; Burkholderiales; Burkholderiaceae
Description: partial 23S ribosomal RNA
Rfam family: Bacterial large subunit ribosomal RNA
Source: RNAcentral
UCCCUGAGGACUUGAUCCUCCUGAAGGGCCGUUGAAGACCACGACGUUGAUAGGCUGGGUGUGGAAGUGCAGUAAUGCAUUAAGCUAACCAGUACUAAUUGCCCGUGCGGCUUGGCUCU